RNAcentral lists this ribosomal RNA (468 nucleotides) under uncultured bacterium. RNAcentral describes it as "partial 16S ribosomal RNA". It matches the Rfam family "Bacterial small subunit ribosomal RNA", at positions 28 to 507 of the family's 1533-position model. The record is from RNAcentral.
GACGAACGCUGGCGGCGUGCUUAACACAUGCAAGUCGAACGGAAAGGCCCUGCUUUUGUGGGGUGCUCGAGUGGCGAACGGGUGAGUAACACGUGAGUAACCUGCCCUUGACUUUGGGAUAACUUCAGGAAACUGGGGCUAAUACCGGAUAGGAGCUCCUGCUGCAUGGUGGGGGUUGGAAAGUUUCGGCGGUUGGGGAUGGACUCGCGGCUUAUCAGCUUGUUUGUGGGGUAGUGGCUUACCAAGGCUUUGACGGGUAGCCGGCCUGAGAGGGUGACCGGCAAAAUUGGGACUGAGAUACGGCCCAGACUCCUACGGGAGGCAGCAGUGGGGAAUAUUGCACAAUGGGCGGAAGCCUGAUGCAGCAACGCCGCGUGCGGGAUGACGGCCUUCGGGUUGUAAACCGCUUUCGAAUGUGACGAAGCGUGAGUGACGGUAAUGGGUAAAGAAGCACCGGCUAACUACGUG